This 253-nucleotide ribosomal RNA is filed under the name uncultured bacterium. RNAcentral's name for it is "partial 16S ribosomal RNA". It matches the Rfam family "Bacterial small subunit ribosomal RNA", at positions 524 to 776 of the family's 1533-position model. The record is from RNAcentral.
UACGUAGGUGGCAAGCGUUGUCCGGAUUUAUUGGGUUUAAAGGGUGCGUAGGCGGCCCUGUAAGUCAGUGCUGAAAUAUCCCAGCUUAACUGGGAGGGUGGCAUUGAUACUGCGGGGCUAGAGUACAGAUGAGGUAGGCGGAAUUGACGGUGUAGCGGUGAAAUGCUUAGAUAUCGUCAAGAACACCUAUAGCGAAGGCAGCUUAUUAGGCUGUAACUGACGCUGAGGCACGAAAGUGUGGGGAUCAAACAGG